This is a non-coding RNA of Camellia sinensis, 624 nucleotides long. The record is from RefSeq and is a predicted model, not a curated record. Lineage: Eukaryota; Viridiplantae; Streptophyta; Magnoliopsida; Ericales; Theaceae.
UUCUCUCUCCUUCUAGACCCUUCGAAGCCUCCUCGCCUCCCCGUCUGGUAUACAAAUCCUUGAAUACUAACAUGCAUUUGAGCAAAGAGACUCCCUUGGCGAGGUUUGAAGAGUUUGAAAACCAUCCGGCUGAUCGAGAGAAUCAUUGUCCAGGACGGUGACCCUUCGAAGACUAUCAAGGUCCCUAAUGGGUUCGAUUACGAGCUCUAUAAUCGUAACGAUAUUAACAGGAUUUUGGGUCCUAAGGCUUCUUGCAUUUCCUUCAAGGACUCUGCUUGUCGCUGCUUUGGGUAUAUGGUUUCUAAGAAGAAGUAUAUCUUUACCAUUGACGAUGAUUGCUUUAUUGUUAAAGUAACCAUAAUCCUGACUUUAGACAGCAAUAAAAUACUUUAGUUAAUGGCCAAUUCUCUCGAUAGAGACCUAUAAUAUCAAGAAGAUGGCAACGUCUCCUGAAAUGAUGUGCUGCUUCUGCCCUGCACCACUAAAACAAUUUCUUGAAAUUGUGAUUAACAUGAAAUUUGAUGAAGAGCCUAACUAUUUCAAGCAAAUCUCCCUGUUCGAGGGACUGAUUGGACCAAAUCCUGCUAUAAGGCCAAUAAACACUGAUGGUGCUCAAAAGGUGAU